UUAUGGUUUGAUUAUUUUAAUUUAAAUUUGUUUUACAUAUAAAUUUUAGUAUUAAUUUUUAAUUAUUUUAAUAAUUUUAAAAUUAAGAUAAGUAGUAAUUAAAAUUAAAAAUUUAAGAAAUUAAGAUUUAGUAAUAUUUAAUAAUUAUUAACAAAUUUUGUGCCAGCAGUUGCGGUUAUACAAAAAAUAAUUUAAAUUUUAUCAGUAUAUAAUAAUUAUUUAUAUAAAAAAAAAUAAAUAAUUAAUUAUUAAGUGAAAUUUUAAUAAAUUUAAAUUUUUUUUAAUAAGUAUGAUUUAUUAAAUUUUUUAAAAAACUAGGAUUAGAUACCCUAUUAUUAAAAAUUAAAUUUAAAAUACUAAAAUAGUAUAUAAUUAUUUAUAAAAACUUAAAUAAUUUGGCGGUAUUUUAGUUCAUUUAGAGGAAUCUGUUUAUUAAUUGAUAUUCCACGAAUAAAUUUACUUAAUUAAUAUGUUUUGUAUAUCGUUGUUAAAAAAAUAUUUUUUAAUAAUAAUAAUAUUUAAAAAUUUUUAUAAAAAAUUAAUUCAGAUCAAGAUGCAGAUUAUAAUUAAGAAUAUAAUGGAUUACAAUAAGAAAAAAUUAAAUGAAUAUUAUUUUUUAAAAAAUAUUUGAAGGUGGAUUUAAAUGUAAUUUUAUUUAAUUUAUUAAAAUGAUUUUUAAUUAAAAUAUGUACAUAUUGCCCGUCGCUUUCAUAAAUAAAUUGAAAUAAGUCGUAACAAAGUAGAGGUACUGGAAAGUGUUUCUAGAAAGAG
RNAcentral lists this non-coding RNA (771 nucleotides) under Battus polydamas (gold-rim swallowtail). Lineage: Eukaryota; Metazoa; Arthropoda; Insecta; Lepidoptera; Papilionidae. The record is from RNAcentral.